Molecule: ribosomal RNA, 216 nt
Filed under: Glomeromycotina sp.
Lineage: Eukaryota; Fungi; Glomeromycota
Description: partial small subunit ribosomal RNA
Rfam family: Eukaryotic small subunit ribosomal RNA (bases 40-216)
Source: RNAcentral
GGGUCAGUAGGUUGGUCGUGCCACCGGUACGUACUGGUCUCACUGAUUCCUCCUUCCUGAAGAACCGUAAUGCCAUUAAUUUGGUGUUGCGGGGAAACAGGACUGUUACAUUGAAAAAAUUAGAGUGUUUAAAGCAAGCUAACGCUUGAAUACAUUAGCAUGGAAUAAUGAAAUAGGACGAUCGAUCCUAUUUUGUUGGUUUCUAGGAUUGACGUA